UACAGAGGGUGCAAGCGUUGUUCGGAAUUAUUGGGCGUAAAGCGCGUGUAGGCGGCUUUUGCAAGUCGGGGUGUGAAAAGCCCCUCAGCUCAACUGAGGAAGUGCGCCCCGAAACUGCAGAGCUUGAGUGCCGGAGAGGGGUGGCGGAAUUCCCCCAAGUAGAGGUGAAAUUCGUAGAUAUGGGGGAGGAACACCGGUGGCGAAGGCG
RNAcentral lists this ribosomal RNA (208 nucleotides) under uncultured bacterium. Its description in RNAcentral is "partial 16S ribosomal RNA". It matches the Rfam family "Bacterial small subunit ribosomal RNA", at positions 524 to 723 of the family's 1533-position model. The record is from RNAcentral.